Molecule: ribosomal RNA, 253 nt
Filed under: uncultured bacterium
Lineage: Bacteria
Description: partial 16S ribosomal RNA
Rfam family: Bacterial small subunit ribosomal RNA
Source: RNAcentral
UACGUAGGGGGCAAGCGUUGUCCGGAUUUAUUGGGCGUAAAGAGCGUGUAGGCGGCUUGACAGGUCUGCUGUGAAAACUCGAGGCUCAACCUCGAGAUGUCGGCGGAAACCGUCUGGCUAGAGUCCGGAAGAGGAGAGUGGAAUUCCUGGUGUAGCGGUGAAAUGCGCAGAUAUCAGGAAGAACACCCGUGGCGAAGGCGGCUCUCUGGAACGCAACUGACGCUGAGACGCGAAAGCGUGGGGAGCAAACAGG